RNAcentral lists this long non-coding RNA (844 nucleotides) under Sorghum bicolor (sorghum). RNAcentral describes it as "long non-coding RNA (SBIC_LNC000294)". Lineage: Eukaryota; Viridiplantae; Streptophyta; Magnoliopsida; Poales; Poaceae. The record is from RNAcentral.
UCCACUCGACCACUGUCUGAACUUGAUAGGCACUGACAUGAUUUGGAUCCACAAGCAUGCAAUCUCUGUGCAAUCAUCACCAUGGAAAAGUACAAGAGCUUGCACAGUUGGAAGCCUCCACCCCUUCCACUCACACUACAGGUAAUCCCCCUCACAGGUCACAGUAGUGAUAUCCUUAGUAUGCCACCUCUUCUAUGAGAAACAUGAGUUGGGCUCCAUGGUUUCGUCGUCUUCCCCUUCUCCCUUUGCGACCCCCCCCCCCCUCUCACCCCACCCUGUUCAUUCUUCAACGAGUGUGCACUUGCUCAGUGAUUGAGCAAGGGGUUCUCUUACAGAAUGAGGCAUAAAAGAUGAAGCCAUUGUCCUAUAACAAUAAAAUAAGUUUUAUCUUGAUAUCCACAAACUCAUGCCAACUAAUACAGUGUUUCCAUUUUACAAAUCUCUCAUCUCAGUACUGUGUAUUCAGCCUCAUCGAUUCCAAGAAUCUAUAUCCAUUUGUCUUUAUUGUGCUACUAACUAGUAUAGUACAAUCUAUGUCCAUUUGUCCUUAUCAGUUAACAGCAGGCCAUCAAUAGAUUGAGAUUAUUUUGAUUUGCUUGUUUCGCUUAUAAUAUUAGAAACUAACCUAUAGUUUGAUUUGGUAAUCUGUAUUGUAUCUAGUACUCGAUUUAUUGAAAAUUUUGUGCACAAAGUAUAAAAUAGAAUCAGUUCUUCAUUCAGGUUGAGAUGACAAUAGACAACUAAACAGCAAUGGAUGCCCACUUCAGACAUUGAUGGUUACAAGGAUGUCAGCCACAUAAAGUCUAUACAGGCUUUAUCAAUCAUCAGUGCAAGCAAUCUUCAA